Molecule: ribosomal RNA, 509 nt
Filed under: Penicillium sp. HCX-2014
Lineage: Eukaryota; Fungi; Ascomycota; Eurotiomycetes; Eurotiales; Aspergillaceae
Description: eukaryotic LSU rRNA
Rfam family: 5.8S ribosomal RNA (bases 140-292)
Source: RNAcentral
GUUUAUUUUACCUUGUUGCUUCGGCGGGCCCGCCUUAACUGGCCGCCGGGGGGCUUACGCCCCCGGGCCCGCGCCCGCCGAAGACACCCUCGAACUCUGUCUGAAGAUUGUAGUCUGAGUGAAAAUAUAAAUUAUUUAAAACUUUCAACAACGGAUCUCUUGGUUCCGGCAUCGAUGAAGAACGCAGCGAAAUGCGAUACGUAAUGUGAAUUGCAAAUUCAGUGAAUCAUCGAGUCUUUGAACGCACAUUGCGCCCCCUGGUAUUCCGGGGGGCAUGCCUGUCCGAGCGUCAUUUCUGCCCUCAAGCACGGCUUGUGUGUUGGGCCCCGUCCUCCGAUCCCGGGGGACGGGCCCGAAAGGCAGCGGCGGCACCGCGUCCGGUCCUCGAGCGUAUGGGGCUUUGUCACCCGCUCUGUAAGCCCGGCCGGCGCUUGCCGAUCAACCCAAAUUUUUAUCCAGGUUGACCUCGGAUCAGGUAGGGAUACCCGCUGAACUUAAGCAUAUCAAUA